UAUAUAACUGAUAUACUUCACAGAACCU
Molecule: non-coding RNA, 28 nt
Filed under: Rattus norvegicus (Norway rat)
Lineage: Eukaryota; Metazoa; Chordata; Mammalia; Rodentia; Muridae
Source: RNAcentral